RNAcentral lists this ribosomal RNA (387 nucleotides) under uncultured bacterium. RNAcentral's name for it is "bacterial SSU rRNA". It matches the Rfam family "Bacterial small subunit ribosomal RNA", at positions 29 to 416 of the family's 1533-position model. The record is from RNAcentral.
AUUGAACGCUGGCGGCAUGCCUUACACAUGCAAGUCGAACGGCAGCACGGGAGCAAUCCUGGUGGCGAGUGGCGAACGGGUGAGUAAUAUAUCGGAACGUGCCCGGUCGUGGGGGAUAACGUAGCGAAAGCUACGCUAAUACCGCAUACGAUCUGCGGAUGAAAGCGGGGGAUCGCAAGACCUCGCGCGAUUGGAGCGGCCGAUAUCAGAUUAGGUAGUUGGUGAGGUAAAGGGCUCACCAAGCCGACGAUCUGUAGCUGGUCUGAGAGGACGACCAGCCACACUGGGACUGAGACACGGCCCAGACUCCUACGGGAGGCAGCAGUGGGGAAUUUUGGACAAUGGGCGCAAGCCUGAUCCAGCAAUGCCGCGUGCAGGAUGAAGGCC